UACGUAGGGCGCAAGCGUUUAUCCGGAAUUAUUGGGCGUAAAGAGCUCGUAGGCGGUUUGUCGCGUCUGCCGUGAAAGUCCGGGGCUCAACUCCGGAUCUGCGGUGGGUACGGGCAGACUAGAGUGAUGUAGGGGAGACUGGAAUUCCUGGUGUAGCGGUGAAAUGCGCAGAUAUCAGGAGGAACACCGGUGGCGAAGGCGGGUCUCUGGGCCGAUACUGACGCUGAGGAGCGAAAGCGUGGGGGAGCGAACAGG
RNAcentral lists this ribosomal RNA (255 nucleotides) under uncultured bacterium. RNAcentral describes it as "partial 16S ribosomal RNA". It matches the Rfam family "Bacterial small subunit ribosomal RNA", at positions 524 to 776 of the family's 1533-position model. The record is from RNAcentral.